CCUACGUGCUUCAGCAGUGGGGAAUAUUGGACAAUGGGCGAAAGCCUGAUCCAGCCAUGCCGCGUGUGUGAAGAAGGCCUUCGGGUUGUAAAGCACUUUCAGUGGGGAAGAAAGCCUUGGGGCUAAUACCCUCGAGGAAGGACAUCACCCACAGAAGAAGCACCGGCUAACUCCGUGCCAGCAGCCGCGGUAAUACGGAGGGUGCGAGCGUUAAUCGGAAUUACUGGGCGUAAAGCGCGCGUAGGCGGUCUGAUAAGCCGGUUGUGAAAGCCCCGGGCUCAACCUGGGAACGGCAUCCGGAACUGUCAGGCUAGAGUGCAGGAGAGGAAGGUAGAAUUCCCGGUGUAGCGGUGAAAUGCGUAGAGAUCGGGAGGAAUACCAGUGGCGAAGGCGGCCUUCUGGACUGACACUGACGCUGAGGUGCGAAAGCGUGGGUAGCAAACAGGAUUAGAUACCCCUGUAGUC
Molecule: ribosomal RNA, 465 nt
Filed under: Vreelandella stevensii
Lineage: Bacteria; Pseudomonadati; Pseudomonadota; Gammaproteobacteria; Oceanospirillales; Halomonadaceae
Description: partial 16S ribosomal RNA
Rfam family: Bacterial small subunit ribosomal RNA
Source: RNAcentral